AGAUGAUAUUGAAAGGGAAGAUGGGAGGGAGAAAUAACAAAAGUGAAAACAAAAACUAAAAACGGAAAUAUAUUUGAAAUUGUUUUCACUUUUGUUACUCCUCCCUCCCAUUCUCCCCUCUGAUCCCCUCUCU
Molecule: microRNA precursor, 133 nt
Filed under: Prunus dulcis (almond)
Lineage: Eukaryota; Viridiplantae; Streptophyta; Magnoliopsida; Rosales; Rosaceae
Description: sRNA ncRNA
Source: RNAcentral